UUAUGUUUUGUUUUUCUUUUAAUCCAUUGAUUUUCAAAAUUUCAUAACUCUUUUAUUUGGAAUCACAAAAAUAUGGAACCAAUUGCAAAAUUUUUCUCUUAAAUUCUAGUUUCAUAAUCUGAUUUUUAAUUAUUUUUGUGAUUCCAUUUAAUAUUUUUUGUGAAUUAUUUUGUUUUUGAUUGUUUUUAAUUCAUUUAAAA
This 200-nucleotide long non-coding RNA is filed under the name Lathyrus oleraceus (garden pea). RNAcentral's name for it is "Pisum sativum (pea) long non-coding RNA (PSAT_LNC026248)". The record is from RNAcentral. Lineage: Eukaryota; Viridiplantae; Streptophyta; Magnoliopsida; Fabales; Fabaceae.